Molecule: ribosomal RNA, 1011 nt
Filed under: uncultured bacterium
Lineage: Bacteria
Description: bacterial SSU rRNA
Rfam family: Bacterial small subunit ribosomal RNA
Source: RNAcentral
GAGUUUGAUCAUGGCUCAGGACGAACGCUGGCGGCGUGCCUAACACAUGCAAGUCGAACGGUUUUAGAAGUUAGAACUUAGAGGUUAGAAGAUGGAAGGAAGUCAGUUGAAAUCCAAUUUCUAACAUCUAACUUCUAACUUCUGGAAUAGUGGCGGACGGGUGAGUAACGCGUGAGCAACCUGCCCAUAAGAGUGGAAUAACACAUCGAAAGAUGUGCUAAUACCGCAUGACACAUUUCUCUCGCAUGAGGGGGAUGUCAAGGGAGAAAUCCGCUUAUGGAUGGGCUCGCGUCCGAUUAGAUAGUUGGCGGGGUAACGGCCCACCAAGUCUGCGAUCGGUAGCCGGACUGAGAGGUCGAACGGCCACAUUGGGACUGAGAUACGGCCCAGACUCCUACGGGAGGCAGCAGUGGGGAAUAUUGCGCAAUGGGGGAAACCCUGACGCAGCAACGCCGCGUGAAGGAAGAAGGUCUUCGGAUUGUAAACUUUUGUCUUUGGGGACGAAGGGCAGGCGUAAGCUUGCCGUGACGGUACCCAAGGAGGAAGCCACGGCUAACUACGUGCCAGCAGCCGCGGUAAUACGUAGGUGGCAAGCGUUGUCCGGAUUUACUGGGUGUAAAGGGCGUGUAGGCGGGACUGCAAGUCAGAUGUGAAAUACCGGGGCUUAACUCCGGGGCUGCAUUUGAAACUGCGGUUCUUGAGUGCCGGAGAGGAAAGCGGAAUUACUAGUGUAGCGGUGAAAUGCGUAGAUAUUAGUAGGAACACCAGUGGCGAAGGCGGCUUUCUGGACGGUAACUGACGCUGAGGCGCGAAAGCGUGGGGAGCAAACAGGAUUAGAUACCCUGGGUAGUCCACGCGGUAAACGAUGGAUACUAGGUGUAGUGGGUAUCGACUCCCGCUGUGCCGUAGUUAACACAAUAAGUAUCCCACCUGGGGAGUACGGGCCGCAAGGUUGAAACUCAAAGGGAAUUGACGGGGGCCCGCACAAGCAGUGGAGUAUGUGGGUUUAAU